UACAGAGGGUGCGAGCGUUGUCCGGAAUCACCGGGCGUAAAGGGCGCGUAGGUGGCGCUCCAAGUCCAUGGUGAAAGCUCGAUGCUCAACAUCGAGUCGGCCACGGAUACUGGAGGGCUGGAGCACUGUAGGGGCAGAUGGAAUUCCGGGUGUAGCGGUGGAAUGCGUAGAGAUCCGGAAGAACACCGGUGGCGAAGGCGGUCUGCUGGGCAGUUGCUGACACUGAGGCGCGACAGCGUGGGGAGCAAACAGG
Molecule: ribosomal RNA, 253 nt
Filed under: uncultured bacterium
Lineage: Bacteria
Description: partial 16S ribosomal RNA
Rfam family: Bacterial small subunit ribosomal RNA
Source: RNAcentral